UAAAAUGACAUUAAAUCCACUAGAUCAGUUUAGGAUACAUACUUUAGCAGAGUUACCUAAUUUUUUUGGGCAUGACGUAAGUUUUACUAAUUCAUCGCUUUUUAUGAUGAUUUCAGUAAUAUUGGCAGCAAUGUUUUUAUUGAUUGGCAUAAGAAAAAAGUCAGGAUAUUUUCAAGCUUCAGUUGAAUAUAUCUAUGAAUUUGUUGUUUCAACAAUAGAAGGUAAUACUGGCAGUAAAGGACUUAAUCACAUCCCUUUGAUAUUCACGAUUUUUAUUUUUAUCUUGUCAUGUAAUUUAGUUGGUAUUCUUCCUUGUGCAUUUACGGUAACAAGUCAUAUAAGUGUUACCUUUGCCUUAUCUAUGAUUGUUUUUAUCUACGUAACAAUUGUUGGGUUCAAAGAGAGAGGAUUAGAGUUUUUGUCUAUAUUUUUGCCGAAGGGUACUCCUCUUUGGCUUGCAUGGUUAAUAGUAAUUAUUAAGUUAUUUGCUUACUUAGUGAGACCGGUUAGUUUAUCAGUAAGACUUGCAGCAAAUAUGGUUGCAGGACAUACAAUUAUUANG
This is a non-coding RNA of Cinara cedri, 562 nucleotides long. The record is from the annotation of a GenBank genome assembly. Lineage: Eukaryota; Metazoa; Arthropoda; Insecta; Hemiptera; Aphididae.